AACGCGAAGAACCUUACCUGGUCUUGACAUAGUAAGAACUUUCCAGAGAUGGAUUGGUGCCUUCGGGAACUUACAUACAGGUGCUGCAUGACUGUCGUCAGCUCGUGUCGCGAGAUGUUGGGUUAAGUCCCGCAACGAGCGCAACCCUUUUCCUUAUUUGCCAGCACUUCGGGUGGGAACUUUAAGGAUACUGCCAGUGACAAACUGGAGGAAGGCGGGGACGACGUCAAGUCAUCAUGGCCCUUACGACCAGGGCUACACGCGUGCUACAAUGGUCGGUACAAAGGGUUGCUACCUAGCGAUAGGAUGCUAAUCUCAAAAAGCCGAUCGUAGUCCGGAUUGGAGUCUGCAACUCGACUCCAUGAAGUCGGAAUCGCUAGUAAUCGCGGAUCAGAAUGCCGCGGUGAAUACGUUCCCGGGUCUUGUACACACCG
RNAcentral lists this ribosomal RNA (434 nucleotides) under uncultured prokaryote. RNAcentral describes it as "bacterial SSU rRNA". It matches the Rfam family "Bacterial small subunit ribosomal RNA", at positions 958 to 1392 of the family's 1533-position model. The record is from RNAcentral.